RNAcentral lists this ribosomal RNA (407 nucleotides) under uncultured soil bacterium. Its description in RNAcentral is "bacterial SSU rRNA". It matches the Rfam family "Bacterial small subunit ribosomal RNA", at positions 509 to 916 of the family's 1533-position model. The record is from RNAcentral.
CAGCAGCCGCGGUAUUCGGAGGGUGCAAGCGUUAAUCGGAAUUACUGGGCGUAAAGCGCACGCAGGCGGUUUGUUAAGUCAGAUGUGAAAUCCCCGGGCUCAACCUGGGAACUGCAUCUGAUACUGGCAAGCUUGAGUCUCGUAGAGGGGGGUAGAAUUCCAGGUGUAGCGGUGAAAUGCGUAGAGAUCUGGAGGAAUACCGGUGGCGAAGGCGGCCCCCUGGACGAAGACUGACGCUCAGGUGCGAAAGCGUGGGGAGCAAACAGGAUUAGAUACCCUGGUAGUCCACGCCGUAAACGAUGUCGACUUGGAGGUUGUGCCCUUGAGGCGUGGCUUCCGGAGCUAACGCGUUAAGUCGACCGCCUGGGGAGUACGGCCGCAAGGUUAAAACUCAAAUGAAUUGACGG